Molecule: long non-coding RNA, 4724 nt
Filed under: Sus scrofa (pig)
Lineage: Eukaryota; Metazoa; Chordata; Mammalia; Artiodactyla; Suidae
Description: lncRNA (ENSSSCG00065052612.1)
Source: RNAcentral
UUCCUUACCUCAUUUCUUCAUUCAAAAAAAGUAAUGAUAAUGUUAUUUUAAGUUGUAAAGAUAAGCUAAGUCAUAACCAAUACUUUUUAAUACUUAAAUUAUUAAAUAUAUAAAAUUUACUCACUCAUAAAUGAAUAGUGUGGUUGAAGAUGGUGUAUAGAUAUUAUAAAACCAAAUAUUUUGUUUUCAAAAUUAAACUUUAAUAGAAUCGUAAGAUUUUCUACCACAAUUUUUGCCAUUCUUUUGUCUUACUUUUCAUAUUUAAACAUGAUAUUCACCUCCAAAUGUGCAAGACUAGGAGAACCUUAUGAUUAGUAUUAUAUUUUUUUAUCCUAGUUUCAAAGAUAAUAAUAGAAAGAUUACUCAGAAAGAUAAGACCUAAAAAGACCUAUUAUUUUAGAUUAGAUUAAUUAUAUUAAAUAUACUAGUGACAACAAAAUGUUAAACAUAUGGAAAAGAAAUUUUAUAUCAUGGGAACAUCUUCAAAGGAGUAUAUAAUAUGCAUAAAAAUAUGAAAUAGUUAUAACCUCUUCAGUGUCCCCUUGGUAAGAGAGUGCCAUGUAUUUAGGAAAGUUACCUCCUUUAUUUGAAAGAAAUCCAAUAAAAUUCUUUGGUUCUAAUAGAUAUAUUCUUAUAAUAAAUGAGUAUUUCUAUUAAGGUAUACUAAUACAUAUUUCUUUGUAAUAAGUGAGUAUUUCUAUGUAUUAAGUCGGUUCAUUACUUCAGUGCAUUAAAUGCAAGAGAGUUUAGGUGUUUAAGGGAAACACACAAAUACAUUUUAAAUAUAUACACUUCGGGAAAGGGUUGAUAACAAGUAAUAGCAGAAAGUAGUUUGGGAAUAAACAUGGUACUCAAUCAUGCAUAAUAUCGUGUACAGUUAUGCUAUGCUCAUUCUACUUUCUGAUUACCAUUCUGAUUAACACUUUCCGUAACUACUUUCUGUAUAUAAGACCACGCUGGGACUAAUGCUGGAAUCCAUGAAGACAGCCUAAAAAAAAAAGCAAUGGAGGAGAAAAGAAGAAAAACAAAGAGGGAAAGAAAGAGAGAGAAAGAAAGAGAAAGAAAGAGGGAAAGAGAUAAAGAAAAAGGAAGGAAGGGAGGAAGGAAGAAAGGAAGAAAGAAAGGAAGAAAGGAAGGAAGAAAGAAAGAAAGAGAAAGAAAAGAAAGGAAGAAGGGAAGGAAGGAAGGAAGAAAUGCUCGUGUAUUAUUUUUUACAUUAAUAAAUGUAGGUUGGUGACUACUUUAUUUAAUUUUUUUCAAUAAUUUUAAUUUAAAAUAUAAAAUUUUAUUCAUUUUCACAAGCAAUUAAAGGAGCAUCAUUUUACUCUUUACUGUUAUAAAAAUCAUAAGAGAAGAUUAUUUUCACAGAGUAUCUGAACAUUAUUAUUUCUUGUUUGAUGAAAGAUAAUACAUUAACUGAUAAAUCAGGAAGUGUCUUAUAUAAAUAUAACCCAGUUUAAGCACAGAAUUCUUAGCCAUUUUGAUUUGAUAUAAUAGGUACAAAUAAUUUAAAUAGAAAAGAUAUCAAUAGUUUAGUGUAAUUAAUAGAAAUCAUCUUUGAAAAAAAUUUGAAGGGCUAUUGUCAUUUGCAAAACUAUGAGAGAUGGAGUGCCAAGGAAAAUAAGCAACGGUAUUCAGGUUAUGAUAUUACAAAUACGAAUUUUCAAGAAGAUAUUAGAUUUGAAACCAAACGUGCCUGAGGAAGAAAUUAGUUUUUAAAUAAUUUUACCUUCCAUUUUAACCAUCAAAGACUUAAACUCUAAACUAGAUAGUGGUAGGAAGCCCUGGGCUGAUAGGAGGAAAUAAACAGACACUCAGAAUCCUGGGCACUAUAGAACAAAUAUCAGGAAAGGAAUCUGGCAUAUAUAUGUCCUGAUUCCUUCUCUCUGGAUUUGGCCUUCAGUAGUGGAUGUGGUCAGUUUAUUGGUAAGGAAGCUGAGGAUGAGGAGCUCCUGUCCACUUCUCCAUUUGGGACACUUGGAAAAGUCCACUGUACAAAGAAGCCUAUGCCUCCAUGAGGUGGAGGGUUAUGGUUGUGGUUAUGGUUAAGGGGCCAUAAGUAAAUAGAGUCUGGAAUGAUCUCCCAAGGUUUUCGCUUCCUAAGUGGCAAGAGCCUGCUAUGAUAGAGUGGAGUGACUCGACCAAGGAUCCAAUCAGAAGAGUGGCAAAGAGUCUGCAAAGCAGCAAGGGCUGAGUAAGCAGGGAGCUGUUGAUUCAGUAAGGAAAAAUUGCAUUUUGUGUUCAUCAGCCCCAGAUGUCCGCAGCAAAUGCCAGCAGAAAAUCCUGAGAAAGGACCAGGCCAACCAAAUACUGCAGCAGACAAGGAACACCCACUCUGCAAUGGUCUGAAAACCGGUAAGCAUCUGAUGGAUCCAAAGACUCUUCCCUUUUCCCUUGUAUGUUCAUAAAAGUCCUCAAUUGGCUCUAUCCCCAAAGUCAGCCUAACACCAUUUUUGUGACUAUCAAGUGCGUGGGAAGAAUGAAAAUAAAAGUCAAACAGUCAUUUUCCAAAGAGUAAGUAUUUUCUUAAAGGACUGUUAAAAUUAUUGGAUUGGGUAGUUUUAAACCAAUUUGGAGUAAAUGUAGCUUUUUAUUUCCACUAAUCAUAAGAGAAGCCAGAACUAUUGUAGACAAAAUAAAACAAAGAAAUUGAUUUUUCUUGUUUCUCUGCUCAUGUGAGCAACAGUGGCAUCUCUGUGACACCAAUACAAGUGAGCAUAACAAGCAUUGAUGUUGCAAAGGUUAAAGAUUUAUGAAUUAGAAAACGGAACUACGAGGUAAUAAUUUUCAAUUUCUUUGCAUUUUACAUACAUAAAUUUUUUUUAACAACACAGUUAUUAUUUUACAGCUGAGGCUAAUAAAGUUUAAGUGACGUACUUAGUCUUGAGCUUUAAAAUACUAACCUUGGCAUUCUUCGUAUAAAUUCUUCUGCUAGAUUAUGUGGUACCAAUCAAUAACUUCAUUUAUAUUCAUAUUUGAAUUAUAAUAACAUUAUUUAGGUAUGUGUACAUGUAUAAUUUAAGAUACAGGUUUAGUUAUGUUAUAUUUUUCUAUAAUAAAGUUUAUGGUUAAAAUCAAGAAUCUCUGCCUAUUAUUUGGUUCAGAAUAAGUAGUUGAGUACAGACAUGAGAAAUUGAUAUUGUAAUCAUUGGAAAAAGAGGAAUGUAAUUAUUUUAAUUCAAAAGGACUAUAAAGCUAACUUUUAUAAAAUUAUAUAAAAACAAAAAAAUGUACUUAUAUCUUUCCAAAAUUUGGAACAUAAUCAUAUGGGAAGAAGGAUGAACUGAAUUUAUCUGGAAGGUCUUCAAUUCCCUGCAAUAUUAGGAAGAUAACUCAUAAGCACACCAAAACUGUAAUAGUGCAAAUUUAAUACCCAGACUGCGUGGUGAAAAUAAAAACAAUCCCUAUUGAUUUCUUUAAAAUUUUAUUGGAGUAUAGUUUAUUUACAACAUUGUGUUAAUUUCUAGUGUACAGAAAAAUGAUUCAGUUGUACAUAUACAUGUAUCUAUACUUUUUCAAAUACUUUUCCCAUAUAGGUUAUUACAGAAUAUUGAUUAGAGUUCCCUAUGCUCUACAGUAGUUCCUUGUUGAUUAUCUCCUCUCUAUAUAGUAGUGAGUAUAUGUUAAUCUCAAACUCCUAAUAUAUCCCUUCCACCCACAUUCAUGUCCUCUUUUGUAACCAUAAAUUUGUUUUUGAAAUCUGUAAAUCUGUUUUUCUUUUGUAAAUAAGUUUAUUUGUAUCAUUUGAAAAUUAGAUUUCACAUGUAAGUGAUAUCACAUGAUAUUUCCCUUUGUCUAACUUACUUCACUUAGUUUGAUAAUCUCUAGGUCCACCCAUGUUGCUGAAAACGGUAUUUUUUGUUCUUUAUUAUGGCUGAGUAACAUUCCAUUGUACCACAUGUACCACUUCUUCUUUAUCCAUUUUCCUGUCAAUUGCCAUUGAGGUUGCUUCCAUGUCUUGGCUAUUGUAACUCAUAAAAUGACUCUUGAAAUAUUAUUCAUUCAUUUAAUCCUAUCUUACCACUAAAAGACUUCCUAAGUGGACAUGACAGCACAUCCCAAAGUUUCUACUAUUGUGAGGGAGCUCCUAUUUUGUAGUAUAAUUACUUUGCUAUAUUAUUGAUUAUCUCACAACUUAACACAUGUCUGUGAUAAAUAUGCCUUUAAGAUAGUAGGCAUUCAAUAAAAGUAUUUUAUAACAAUAAUGGUAACAAGUAUAACUGGCAUACAUAGGUUUAGAGCAAGUACUAAUUAUUCUUAAGUAUUUAAAUUCAUGGAAGUAGAAUAUCUAGGCAGAUUUUAAACUGGCCACAGCAUUCAAAGUGAUCUGGGUGUUUGUCAGUGCGUCUCUGAAAAAAGUGAAUAAUAUCUGUUAAAAGAGUGUAGAUUUUAUAUUUCACCUGUAUAUUUUAUACUAGUUUUAAUUGAAUUCAGUGUUUAAUAUAAUUAAGUCCCAUUUGUUUAUUUUUGGUUUUUAUUAUCUUCAUUACUCAAGAAAGAUUUUUUCAGAGUUCCCAUUGUGGCUCAGUGGGUUAAGAACCAACUAGUAUCCAUGAGGAUGCAGAUUCAAUCCCUCGCCUCACCUCCUGGGUGAAGGAUCCAGUGUUGCUGAAAGCUGUGUCAUGGGUCACAGAUGAGGCUCAGGUCUGGGUUGCUGUGGCUGUGGUAUAGGCUGGCAGCAGCUCCAUUUCAACCCCUAGCCUGGGAACUUCCAUAUGCCAUGG